RNAcentral lists this ribosomal RNA (713 nucleotides) under uncultured marine alveolate. Its description in RNAcentral is "SSU rRNA". It matches the Rfam family "Eukaryotic small subunit ribosomal RNA", at positions 618 to 1335 of the family's 1831-position model. The record is from RNAcentral.
GUUAAAAAGCUCGUAGUUGGAUUUCUGUCGGUGAGGUUCAGUCCGCCCAAGUGGUUGGUACGUGAUCCGCCACCGGCAUCUUCCUGGGGAAUGUGUCUGCUCUUAAUUGGGUGGUACAUAAGCCAGGACUUUUACUUUGAAGAAAUGGGAGUGUUUCAAGCAGGCAUGCGCCGUGAAUACGUUAGCAUGGGAUAAUAGCAUCGGACCUCGUUCCAAAGCUGUUGGUUUCUUGGACCGAGGUAAAGGUGAAUAGGGAUUGUUGGGGGCAUUCGUAUUUGACUGUCAGAGGUGAAAUUCUUGGAUUUGUUGAAGACGGACUACUGCGAAAGCAUCUGCCAAAGAUGUUCUCAUUGAUCAAGAACGAAAGUUAGGUGAUCGAAGACGAUCAGAUACCGUCCUAGUCUUAACCAUAAACUAUGCCGACUGGAGAUCGGGGGUCGUUAAUUAUGUGACGCCCUCUGCAUCUUGAGAGAAAUCAAAGUCUUUGGGUUCCGGGGGGAGUAUGGUCGCAAGGCUGAAACUUAAAGGAAUCGACGGAAGGGCACCACCAGGAGUGGAGCCUGCGGCUUAAUUUGACUCAACACGGGAGAACUUACCAGGUCCAGACAUAGUAAGGAUUGACAGACUGAUAGCUCUUUCGAGAUUCUAUGGGUGGUGGUGCAUGGCCGUUCUUAGUUGGUGGAGUGAUUUGUCUGGUUAAUUCCGUUAACGAA